Molecule: ribosomal RNA, 301 nt
Filed under: uncultured bacterium
Lineage: Bacteria
Description: partial 16S ribosomal RNA
Rfam family: Bacterial small subunit ribosomal RNA
Source: RNAcentral
CAGCAGCCGCGGUAAUACGAAGGGUGCAAGCGUUACUCGGAAUUACUGGGCGUAAAGCGUGCGUAGGUGGUGGUUUAAGUCCGUUGUGAAAGCCCUGGGCUUAACCUGGGAAUUGCAGUGGAUACUGGGUCACUAGAGUGUGGUAGAGGAUAGUGGAAUUUCCGGUGUAGCAGUGAAAUGCGUAGAGAUCGGAAGGAACAUCUGUGGCGAAGGCGACUAUCUGGGCCAACACUGACACUGAGGCACGAAAGCGUGGGGAGCAAACAGGAUUAGAUACCCGGGUAGUCCCUGUCUCUUAUAC